This 330-nucleotide unclassified non-coding RNA is filed under the name Hevea brasiliensis (rubber tree). The record is from RNAcentral. Lineage: Eukaryota; Viridiplantae; Streptophyta; Magnoliopsida; Malpighiales; Euphorbiaceae.
AGAAACCUAAAAUUCUUAAUUUUACAAUAAAAAAUUAAAUCAAAAUAGUUGCCAAAUUUAGUUUUCCUUGAUUACUACUACAUCAAUAUGUUAGUUCCAGAUCUUUGUUCUAAGUGCAGUUUUACUUGAACAUCUUAUAUUCAAAUUUGAGACAGCAGAAGGACCAAAAAAAAGCCCACUGGGAUCUGGGAUUGAAGUAUGGACAGGUACAAGCAAAACAUGAACCCAAAUUUGAACGUUGGACUACUUAUUAAAUGGUCAAAGAAGUUCCAAUACUAUGCCAAGAAAAACACUCAACCAAAAAAACUUAACCUUACAAAUGAGGAUUUA